CUCUCUGUGGCUCAGUUGGUGAGAACGCUGCACCGGAAUUGCAGGGCAACAGGUUCAAUUCCUGCCAGAGAGA
This is a non-coding RNA of Paramuricea clavata, 73 nucleotides long. NCBI's taxonomy places the organism in Eukaryota, Metazoa, Cnidaria, Anthozoa, Malacalcyonacea, Plexauridae. The record is from the annotation of a GenBank genome assembly.